RNAcentral lists this transfer RNA (74 nucleotides) under Patescibacteria group bacterium. Its description in RNAcentral is "tRNA-Gly". It matches the Rfam family "tRNA". Rfam says of the family: Transfer RNA (tRNA) molecules are approximately 80 nucleotides in length. Their secondary structure includes four short double-helical elements and three loops (D, anti-codon, and T loops). RNAcentral also lists the same sequence under 1 other name. The record is from RNAcentral.
GCGGUGGUAGUUCAGUUGGCUAGAAUAUUUCCUUGCCAAGGAAAAGGUCGCGGGUUCGAAUCCCGUCCACCGCU